AACGAACGCUGGCGGCAUGCCUAACACAUGCAAGUCGAACGAGACCUUCGGUCUAGUGGCGCACGGGUGCGUAACGCGUGGGAAUCUGCCCUUGGGUUCGGAAUAACAGCGAGAAAUUGCUGCUAAUACCGGAUGAUGACGUAAGUCCAAAGAUUUAUCGCCCAAGGAUGAGCCCGCGUAGGAUUAGCUAGUUGGUGAGGUAAAGGCUCACCAAGGCGACGAUCCUUAGCUGGUCUGAGAGGAUGAUCAGCCACACUGGGACUGAGACACGGCCCAGACUCCUACGGGAGGCAGCAGUGGGGAAUAUUGGACAAUGGGCGAAAGCCUGAUCCAGCAAUGCCGCGUGAGUGAUGAAGGCCUUAGGGUUGUAAAGCUCUUUUACCCGGGAUGAUAAUGACAGUACCGGAGAUAAGCUCCGGCUAACUCCGUGCCAGCAGCCGCGGUAAU
RNAcentral lists this ribosomal RNA (447 nucleotides) under uncultured bacterium. RNAcentral describes it as "bacterial SSU rRNA". It matches the Rfam family "Bacterial small subunit ribosomal RNA", at positions 29 to 524 of the family's 1533-position model. The record is from RNAcentral.